AAAGCUUUCCCAAAUUUUCCAAAAGUGUAGAUUCUAGAGAUGGUUAGGCAGAAAUGAGGCUUGACAUUCCAUGCAAGAAGCAGGCUGACAAGCAUAUUUAUUUUGGAACGAUCCUACACUCUACGGGCAUUAGGAGCAUGUGUGAUUUCAUGUAUGCUGGCUGUAUUGCCUUAUCUGGAAUUUGAUUGAUGAACAAGGACUGGAAAUGGGCUACUACAAUCAAUCCUGGAAAUGUUCUGUAGGAAUAGUACUGAAGUUAUGGAUUUGGCUGUUCAAAGGCUGAGCUAGGCCAAAUCUGGGAAGUACAAAUGCCAGGCAAAUCAAGAAACAUUUUUAGACUGAAGCAGUGACUUUACAAGCUCAAAACACCCAUGAACUUCAGCUGUGCUUCAUUUGGAAAUAUGAUAUGAAAAAGGCUGCAAAAUGCCUGGAUCCACUAAAUUUAUCUUUUGUUCUCUAUUACUGCCGUAAGGGCCUCUGUGGGAACCAUUAGGUCACAGCUUGAACAUUGAGCAUCUGGUGAAGGGGUGUAGCCAGGCCUGAGAGCACAGGUGUGAGAAGUUCACCUGUGUGACUGUGGAGAACCAUGCGUCCACCCCUCCCUAAUCUCAUUUAAGGGCUGGCUGCCAAAGCGGAAGCAUGUCUAACUAAAGAUUGCCUCCUUUGGGAGUUUUCAUGGGAGACCCUAUCUUCAGAAAAUGGUUCUUCUGGGAAAUCUAGAGACUGGAAGAGAGAUCCUUUGAUCAGACCUGAUCCUUCAGCUUUGUCUGCCUGAAGAAGAGAAUUCUGAAUGCCUGGAGAGGCUGAAGUUCUCUUCAAAAGCUUUUGGAACAUAAUUUGAUUCUCUUAGAGCCGCCUCCAUAAUUCUCUACAAAAAUAAGGAAAACUCCAAAGUAUUUGAAAGGCGGUGAAGUUAAACUUUGCUACAGUGGCAGUUGGAUAGAAUUAGGCAACGUGCAUUUUACAAAGAACUGUUUAAAAAAAAAAAAGGACAGUAUGCAUAGUAUGUAUUUAAAGUUAAAACAUCGUUAUAUUGCUGAAGUAAAUUUAACAGUCAAAAUAAAAGUGUACAAACUACACAUCUAUUCAAUGCAAGAAUUUCAAUAUAAACAGUCAUCUGACAGAGCUGUAUAACAAAUAGAUUUUGCAAGUGUGGCUGUUUCUUAAAUAUGUUUUCUCUAAGUUGCCAGAAUUAUGAUGCCUUUCUUCAUAGUACUUUGAUGUAUUCAAAGACAAUGGCUCCAGGGCAGACACUGAAUGGAUUGGAGUUAGAUGUGAGCGUACCUUUUCAUAUGGUCAUUAUACUAAUGGCGCCUCUGAAGAAAGUCAACAAGAGUGACUUUUGGGGUUUCUGAAUGUAAGAAAUGUAUGCAUAUGUUAGAAUAUGUGACAGGAGGGAUUAUCUCAGAACCUAAGAUUAUUUUAGCACACUGAAAUUGUUGGGUUUAUCUAGCCUCUACAGAAUGAUAAAGGAGAAAGUGUUCAGUAUGCUGGGAGUUAAGUAGCUCUUAGAUGGAUGACAAAUGCAUUUUUUUAUAAAGUAAAAAAAAAAAAGUCCAAGGCUGGAUUUUCCCAAGGCAUACUGGAAGAUGUCUCUGCCUGCUGUGGGAUGGCUUGGACUAGGUGACUUUUGAAAGUUCCUUCCAACCAAACCCUUCUAGGAUUUUUAUGUUGCGCAGAUCCUAUCUGUGGAGAGAAGCUUCUAUUUUUCAGUCAUUUGAGAGAUCAUAUCAAUUUACCAGAAAACAACUGAAUUUGUGAAGGGUGUUUCUUUGACAAUGUAAUAUUGCACUUUAAUUAAAGGCAAAGCCACACACAUUGUGUAGCCAUCAGCACCAAUGGAAGUUGUCUGCAUUUUCCUCUGUGACAGAGAGCUGAGCUAAUCUGCAGCCAAGGAUUUGAGCAGCACAAAGCAACUUGAAGGCUACACUGGACCUGCAGCACAGAGUAGCACAGGCUUGUGCCUCUUCAGAUUAGCUGUUCUGUGGAUCACUGGGUCCUCAAUGCACAGUGGUUUUUCUGAAUGGCUCAAUAUAGGACCUUUCCUACUGGGAGAUGAUGUAGGAAAUGUAACCUGAAGCAUGAGAACCUGAGAUUGGUUAAACGCUAGCAUAGGAAAGAUAAUUGAAAUCUGUAAUUGUGUUUAAAACAUGACUUGUGUGCAACAGUUAGCAGAUUAGUAUUCAUCUCAUACAAAAUAUAUAUUAUGUGCUCGUUAUUCCUAUGUCUCUAUCAUCUGAAAGGAUGAGACUGAUAAUAGAGAUGGUGGUGAGAAGAAUAUCUGUUACUACCUUGACAACAGCCCAUUUUAAAACUUUCCUUCUCUAUAUUCUCCUUCAAUUACCUGGAAACCAUCAUGGACAUACAAUUAUACCUCACUAGGGAUCCAUGAAUUCAGGAAAUGAAACAAUCCAUUCUUUUUAGACUCUGAAGACAGCGACAAGAGAUGCACUCUGUGGAUCUAAUCUGUUUUCCUUAUAUUCCUGUCAUGGGUUGCAUUAGUUGUUACAAACUUUGUCUAAUGGUUUGUUUUAGCCAUAUUUUCUAUGUACAUGGAAAUGAAUCAACCAUUGGAAGUUAGCGUGUUGGGAUUUUUUUAUGUAAAAGGCAAGCAUUCUGUAGGAAGAUGAGAAAAAAAAUCAGUGUUACAGGAAUUUAACUUGGUACAGUGACAAAAGCCAUCAAUAAUGUUGUGAUUUAUAAACUUUACAGGAUGAAAAGCAAAAAAAAAGGCUUGACUUGCGCUUAGCUUUUACCAGAUUGAGAAAGCGCAGACUGAUUGGCAGCAAGUAGAGCUUGGAAGUAGUUCACAAAUCCUGAACAGAUUGUGCUAAACCUACUGAUUUUCUGCAGUCAUGAAGGCCUACUAUUUCUUUGUUUAAAAAGAAAUAAGUCUGUUUUCCAAAACUGAGUCAUUUAAAUGAAUUUUCAUGGGUAUUUUCAGACACUAGUGCUUCAGAAUAAUGUCCUUAAUUAAUGUUUUCUGGAAGGAAGACAAAACAGAAUGAAAUUAGUGACAUCCAAGACUCUGCCAGUAAUAGUUUCUCUAACUUUGAGAGCCAACAGCUAUGGGGUUUCUAAAAAGCUCCUGAGAAAAUAGGAAAAAAAUCUUUAACAUUUCUAUGGAAUGUAAAAUACAUGUUUUCACAUGACUGUAUAAAGAAGUGACAGAUCUGUUGUUUGUCCUAUGUCAUAUCCACAUGCUGUUGGCAUUGGCUGAGUUCUCAAGCAGGGGAUGUCAGGUACACAGUAUGUAUUUAGUGCUGUUUAAAUUGCUUAGUGGGAGUUCUCAGGUGAAUAAGUUUAUAUUUAAAAAAAAAAAAAAGUUUUUUUCAUGUUGUCAUAUGCAGAUAUUGAAAUGGAUGUAUAGGAUUUCUCGUCACACAGCUUGACAUUUUAACAGUAACACAGUACUAGAGCACGACAUAGGAAACUAGGGUGUAGGACAAAAAAUCAGGGCUGUUCUUUUUCUUCAUGUUCUACCUGCUUUAUCAAAAUUGUGCAUACUUAAUGGAAUACUUGGUUGUGGCAGUCUCGACCUCAGGCCAAUAGACGGAGAGUAGCAUCAGUGUUCAUGUCCUUGAUGUAGACUACACAAAGCUAGGGUUUGCAUCUUGGUCUUCUCUGUUACCAACAAGUACCUGUUCUGUGAUGAGCAGCCUGCUGUUCUGUCUCCUACGUCAAAAGGUUUUGGCUUUGUCAAUUUCCAGAAAUAAACUUUUUUUGAAUACUGAAAAACAUGUACUUCUCCAGAUGCAAUGACUGGUUGCAUCUUGCUAAGAAACGACUGCUGCAGAUCUUGUUGAAAGCUGUGAGUAGGUUCUUAGCAUGUCCACAGAAGGGAAGGGGCUAGGAGAAAAAUGUAUCCAGUAAGAAAUUUGGUGUGGCAAUGUGCUACUGAGCUGAGAAAUAUUUUAAUGAUACACUUGGAAAAAUUGUAUUAUUUUCUUUUCCACCUGGAAAAACCUGCAAAGAAAAGGUAAUAUUUGUCUUUAACAUGAUGCCUUUAAUUAGGGAUCACUCUUUUCUUUCCCAUCUCUCUAAAUCUUUUCCCACACCUUUCUCCUCUGCAUAAAGUGUAUGCCUCAAUUCAGUAGGGUAGUUUAAGCUCAUAUUUAAAUCCCAAUAACUGUUGGCCAACAGUAUGCUUAAAUAUAAGGAUUUUUACGAAUAGAUAUACUGGACUAAACCAGCCCUGUGAUAAAGGAAAAUGAAGACAGUCAAUGCUUGUUCAAUGAAGUAACACAAGUAUCAGUGAGAUCAAAAGCUGGAGAAUGGGAUUAGACUCUUGCAAGAAAGGCAUUCCAUUAUUUUCCUGAAACUGCUGUUUGAGUAGACUCACUACAACCUGUUCCACGUGAUUAGUCAUUAGUUUUCUUUGAUAAAAGCGAAGCAAGUCAUUACUAGACAUCUUGGUGUUUCUUCAUUUUAACAUGAGCAGAAUUACAGCAGCAGUGUACAGGUUUAAGUUCCUCUAAAGAAGGGGAGAAAAAAAAAAUUUUCAGUACAGAAACCAAACCUGAUAUCUGCAUCACAGAAGAGCAAUAACAGCUCUGUUUUGUGUGAUAUCUUUGCAUUGUUCUCCCCCUGUGCAGCAAUACAAUGGUAAGAUUUAGUAAAUUGCAGUAGAGAGAAAUAUGUUUUCAAUGAGAUGUGAAACUAGAUAUGUUCUUUAGUUAUGUAGAAAAUGGGAGCACUGCAAUCAAAUUUUGGACUACAAUAACUUACACUUUGCCACCGUUUUUACUGUUGGUAAAGCUGAUGUCUCCAUGUAAACAGAAGAUGAAACACCAAUAUUUUUGGAUCCCAUUGGAGACCUGCCUGUCUUUAGGGUCCGGGGCUGGCCGUACUUCGAAAAUAUCUGGGGCAGAACAGAAGUGAACAGAUGGGAGGAUACAGUAUGAGUUCUGAGUAGAGAUUUUGUUUGUUUUGAGAGAAAGCUUUUGGCUUGGAGAUUACAACUGCUUUGAAUUGCGCAACGACAUUAUUUUCCUUAAAAUAUAUAAUAAUACAAAUUGUGAGAUCUAUAAUCUAUUAUUUUCUGAACUAUUAAUAUCCAUGUUUUUAAUUACUCUUUUUUUUAAAAUUAAUAUUUCUACUUUGAUAUUAAACUCUCCACUGUCACUGUAAAGAUGUCUUUCAAAAAUGAAUGUUGUUAAAUGGCAUGCUUAGUAAAUGAUAGUAGUGAAGAUGUCUGGAAGGAAUAUGCUGUAAAAUAAACUAAUAACAUUUAACUGAA
Non-coding RNA from Meleagris gallopavo (turkey), 5239 nucleotides. NCBI's taxonomy places the organism in Eukaryota, Metazoa, Chordata, Aves, Galliformes, Phasianidae. The record is from RefSeq and is a predicted model, not a curated record.